GUAGGGAAUCUUAGACAAUGGGGGCAACCCUGAUCUAGCCAUGCCGCGUGUGUGAUGAAGGCCCUAGGGUCGUAAAGCACUUUCGCCAGAGAUGAUAAUGACAGUAUCUGGUAAAGAAACCCCGGCUAACUCCGUGCCAGCAGCCGCGGUAAUACGGAGGGGGUUAGCGUUGUUCGGAAUUACUGGGCGUAAUGCGCACGUAGGCGGAUUAGUAAGUUAGAGGUGAAAUCCCAGGGCUCAACCCUGGACUGCCUUUAAUACUGCUAGUCUUGAGUUCGAGAGAGGUAAGUGGAAUUCCGAGUGUAGAGGUGAAAUUCGUAGAUAUUCGGAGGACACCCAGUGGCGAAGGCGGCUUACUGGCUCGAUACUGACGCUGAGGUGCGAAAGUGUGGGGAGCAAACAGGAUUAGAUACC
This 414-nucleotide ribosomal RNA is filed under the name uncultured Alphaproteobacteria bacterium. RNAcentral describes it as "bacterial SSU rRNA". It matches the Rfam family "Bacterial small subunit ribosomal RNA", at positions 354 to 786 of the family's 1533-position model. Lineage: Bacteria; Pseudomonadati; Pseudomonadota; Alphaproteobacteria. The record is from RNAcentral.